Small nucleolar RNA from Diospyros lotus (date-plum), 88 nucleotides. NCBI's taxonomy places the organism in Eukaryota, Viridiplantae, Streptophyta, Magnoliopsida, Ericales, Ebenaceae. The record is from RefSeq and is a predicted model, not a curated record.
GUCAAUGAUGAUAUAUGCACUGGGCACUGAGUAGUUCAUAUACUGAUUUAAUGAUGGAUAUGCAGUCCUAGAAAGUUCUAUCUAUUCA